GUGCUCGCUUCGGCAGCACAUAUACUAAAGUUGACACGAUACAGAGAAGAUUAGCAUGACCUCUGUGUAAGGAUGACACACAAAUUCCUGAAGCGUUCAUAUUUUUA
This is a small nuclear RNA of Zalophus californianus (California sea lion), 107 nucleotides long. The record is from Ensembl. NCBI's taxonomy places the organism in Eukaryota, Metazoa, Chordata, Mammalia, Carnivora, Otariidae.